AUUCGUUCACUCCUAAUGGAGCGCAGUCCGAGCUAUACCAUGGAACGGGGGAUAGC
Molecule: non-coding RNA, 56 nt
Filed under: unclassified sequences
Also listed under: 1 other name
Description: Glutamine-II sequence
Rfam family: Glutamine-II riboswitch aptamer
About the family: The major groove of the PK provides the binding site for L-glutamine
Source: RNAcentral